AUUGAACGCUGGCGGCAGGCCUAACACAUGCAAGUCGAGCGGAUGAAGGGAGCUUGCUCCUGGAUUCAGCGGCGGACGGGUGAGUAAUGCCUAGGAAUCUGCCUGGUAGUGGGGGAUAACGUCCGGAAACGGGCGCUAAUACCGCAUACGUCCUGAGGGAGAAAGUGGGGGAUCUUCGGACCUCACGCUAUCAGAUGAGCCUAGGUCGGAUUAGCUAGUUGGUGGGGUAAAGGCCUACCAAGGCGACGAUCCGUAACUGGUCUGAGAGGAUGAUCAGUCACACUGGAACUGAGACACGGUCCAGAGUCCUACGGGAGGCAGCAGUGGGGAAUAUUGGACGAUGGGCGAAAGACUGAUCCAGCCAUGCCGCGUGUGUGCAGAAGGUCUUCGGAUUGUAAAGCACUUUAAGUUGGGAGGAAGGGCAGUAAGUUAAUACCUUGCUGUUUUGACGUUACCAACAGAAUAAGCACCGGCUAACUUCGUG
Molecule: ribosomal RNA, 484 nt
Filed under: uncultured bacterium
Lineage: Bacteria
Description: partial 16S ribosomal RNA
Rfam family: Bacterial small subunit ribosomal RNA
Source: RNAcentral